RNAcentral lists this ribosomal RNA (393 nucleotides) under uncultured bacterium. Its description in RNAcentral is "partial 16S ribosomal RNA". It matches the Rfam family "Bacterial small subunit ribosomal RNA", at positions 523 to 918 of the family's 1533-position model. The record is from RNAcentral.
AUACGUAGGGGGCGAGCGUUGUCCGGAAUUACUGGGCGUAAAGGGUGCGUAGGUGGCACUUUAAGUUGGAUGUGAAAUCCCCGUGCUUAACAUGGGAGCUGCAUCCAAUACUGGAGAGCUAGAGUGCAGGAGAGGUAAGCGGAACUCCUAGUGUAGCGGUGAAAUGCUUAGAUAUCAUGAAGAACUCCGAUUGCGAAGGCAGGCCGCUGGGGCACGUCUGACGCUGAUGCUCGAAGGUGCGGGAAGCAAACAGGAUUAGAGGCCCUGGUAGUCCGCACGGUAAACGAUGAUUGCCCGCUGUCGGCGGCAGACAGGCGGCGGCCAAGCGAAAGCGAUAAGUAAUCCACCUGGGGAGUACGCCUGCAACGGUGAAACUCAAAGGAAUUGGCGGGG